AAAGAUUAAGCCAUGCAUGUAUAAGUAUAACCUGCCAGACAGGGAAACUGCGUACGGCUCAUUACACCAGCUGUAAUUUACUUGACCUUGACAACCUACUUGGAUAACUGUGGUAAUUCUAGAGCUAAUACAUGCACCAAAGCUCCGAUCCUCGCGGAGAGGAGCGCAUUUGUUCGCCACAAAACCAAGCGCCUUCACAGGCGUUCGGUGUUGAUUCAGAACAACUCAGCUGAUCGCACGGUCUUGCACCGGCGACGUGUCUUUCAAGUGUCUGCCUUAUCAACUUUCGAUGGUAGUGUACCUGACUACCAUGGUGAUGACGGGUAACGGAGGAUAAGGGUUCGACUCCGGAGAAGGGGCCUGAGAAAUGGCCACUACGUCUAAGGAUGGCAGCAGGCGCGCAAAUUACCCACUCUCAACAUGAGGAGGUAGUGACGAGAAAUAACGAGACUGUUCUCACAUGAGGCCAGUUAUUGGAAUGGGUACAAUUUAAACCCUUUAACGAGUAUCUAUGAGAGGGCAAGUCUGGUGCCAGCAGCCGCGGUAAUUCCAGCUCUCAUACUGCAUUGAAUUGUUGUUGCGGUUAAAAAGCUCGUAGUUGGAUCUGUACAUGAUAGGUUAGUUCAUCCUUUGGAUUGUAACUAAUACUAAAUGUUUUUUAUUAGAUUUUUUUUAUUCCUUACGGGAUAAAAAUGUCUAGUGAGUUUACUUUGAAUAAAUCAGAGUGCUCAAAGCAGGCGUAAGCCUGUAUGGUUUUGCAUGGAAUAAUAGAACAUGACUAUGGUUUAUGUUUUAUUGGUUUUACUUACCAUUGUAAUGAUUAAAAGGAACAAACGGGGGCAUCCGUAUCGCAGGGCGAGAGGUGAAAUUCGUGGACCCUUGCGAGACGAACUACAGCGAAAGCAUUUGCCAAGAAUG
Molecule: ribosomal RNA, 918 nt
Filed under: Helicotylenchus varicaudatus
Lineage: Eukaryota; Metazoa; Nematoda; Chromadorea; Rhabditida; Hoplolaimidae
Description: bacterial SSU rRNA
Rfam family: Eukaryotic small subunit ribosomal RNA
Source: RNAcentral